GAUGAACGCUGGCGGCGUGCCUAAUACAUGCAAGUCGAGCGAACAGACGAGGAGCUUGCUCCUCUGACGUUAGCGGCGGACGGGUGAGUAACACGUGGAUAACCUACCUAUAAGACUGGGAUAACUUCGGGAAACCGGAGCUAAUACCGGAUAAUAUAUUGAACCGCAUGGUUCAAUAGUGAAAGGCGGUUUUGCUGUCACUUAUAGAUGGAUCCGCGCCGCAUUAGCUAGUUGGUAAGGUAACGGCUUACCAAGGCAACGAUGCGUAGCCGACCUGAGAGGGUGAUCGGCCACACUGGAACUGAGACACGGUCCAGACUCCUACGGGAGGCAGCAGUAGGGAAUCUUCCGCAAUGGGCGAAAGCCUGACGGAGCAACGCCGCGUGAGUGAUGAAGGUCUUCGGAUCGUAAAACUCUGUUAUUAGGGAAGAACAAAUGUGUAAGUAACUAUGCACGUCUUGACGGUACCUAAUCAGAAAGCCACGGCUAACUACAUG
RNAcentral lists this ribosomal RNA (497 nucleotides) under uncultured bacterium. Its description in RNAcentral is "partial 16S ribosomal RNA". It matches the Rfam family "Bacterial small subunit ribosomal RNA", at positions 28 to 507 of the family's 1533-position model. The record is from RNAcentral.